RNAcentral lists this ribosomal RNA (445 nucleotides) under uncultured bacterium. RNAcentral's name for it is "partial 16S ribosomal RNA". It matches the Rfam family "Bacterial small subunit ribosomal RNA", at positions 354 to 796 of the family's 1533-position model. The record is from RNAcentral.
GUGAGGAAUAUUGCGCAAUGGAGGCAACUCUGACGCAGUCAUGCCGCGUGCAGGAAGAAGGCGCUACGCGUUGUAAACUGCUUUUAACCGGGAAGAAACCCCAGGACGUGUCCUGGGUUGACGGUACCGGAGGAAUAAGCACCGGCUAACUUCGUGCCAGCAGCCGCGGUAAUACGAAGGGUGCAAGCGUUAUCCGGAUUCAUUGGGUUUAAAGGGUGCGUAGGCGGAGCGUUAAGUCAGUGGUGAAAUCCUGCAGCUUAACUGUAGACUUGCCAUUGAUACUGGCGCUCUUGAGUGCGCUUGAAGUGGGCGGAAUGUGCCGUGUAGCGGUGAAAUGCUUAGAUAUGGCACAGAACACCAAUUGCGAAGGCAGCUCACUAAGGCGAUACUGACGCUGAGGCACGAAAGCGUGGGGAUCGAACAGGAUUAGAAACCCGAGUAGUCC